AAUUUUUUAGCCGAUGUGACGUCGACAUUACACCCGUAUUUACUGCCUAUAGGUAGUACCUGUAGUUCAUUGCCGGAAAUAGACUAGGUAGGGGAGAGAGUUGGGCGGAAAUUUAUCCCCGGUAGUAAAAUAUUCCAGGCGUAUUCGAAUGUUUUCAUGUAUUAUUUAUUAUUACCCAAUGUGUUUAUUGAACCAGCCGACAGACGCGCACAUAAAGCCCUCAA
Non-coding RNA from Cinara cedri, 224 nucleotides. The record is from the annotation of a GenBank genome assembly. NCBI's taxonomy places the organism in Eukaryota, Metazoa, Arthropoda, Insecta, Hemiptera, Aphididae.